RNAcentral lists this ribosomal RNA (373 nucleotides) under uncultured bacterium. RNAcentral describes it as "bacterial SSU rRNA". It matches the Rfam family "Bacterial small subunit ribosomal RNA", at positions 523 to 898 of the family's 1533-position model. The record is from RNAcentral.
AUACGUAGGUGGCAAGCGUUAUCCGGAAUUAUUGGGCGUAAAGGGUGCGUAGGCGGGAUUUUAAGUCAGCGGUAAAAUUUUCAGGCUCAACCUGAACACUGCCGUUGAAACUGGGAUUCUUGAGUAUGGAUGAAGUAGGCGGAAUUCGUUGUGUAGCGGUGACAUGCUUAGAUAUAACGAGGAACUCCGAUUGCGUAGGCAGCUUACUAAGCCAUAACUGACGCUCAAGCACGAAAGCGUGGGGAUCAAACAGGAUUAGAUACCCUGGUAGUCCACGCCGUAAACGAUGAUUACUAGUUGUUUGCGAUAUACCGUAAGUGACUAAGCGAAAGCGAUAAGUAAUCCACCUGGGGAGUACGCCGGCAACGGCGAA